AGUUCCAAUAGCGUAUAUUAAAGUUGUUGCUUAAAAAGCUCGUAGUUAGAUUUCUGGCUAUGCAUGUGGAUCCGCUCUUAUAAGUGUGCACCAUACAUGUCUGGCCAUCCUUUGGGAGAGCCACAGUGGUAUUAAAUUGUUGGUGUGGGGAUCCUAAUCCUUUACUGUGAAUAAUUAGAGUGUCCAAAGCAGGCUUAUGCCGUUCAAUGUAUUAGCAUGGAAUAACAAAAUAGGACUAUUGUACUAUUUUGUUGGUUUGCGUACAAUAGUAAUGAUUAACAGGGACAGUUGGAGGUAUUUGUAUUCCAUUGUCUGAGGUGAAACUCUUGGAUUUUUGGAAGACAAACUACUGCAAAAUCAUUUACCAAAGAUAUUUUCA
Molecule: ribosomal RNA, 379 nt
Filed under: uncultured eukaryote
Lineage: Eukaryota
Description: SSU rRNA
Rfam family: Eukaryotic small subunit ribosomal RNA
Source: RNAcentral